AUUGAACGCUGGCGGCAGGCCUAACACAUGCAAGUCGAGCGAGCGGCGGACGGGUGAGUAAUGUAUGGGGACUGCCCGAUAGAGGGGGAUAACUACUGGAAACGGUAGCUAAUACCGCAUACUAUCGGAUAACCUAUAUGGGAUUGGCUAGUGGGUGAGGUAAUGGCUCACCUAGGCGACGAUCCCUAGCUGGACUGAGAGGAUGAUCAGCCACACUGUGACUGAGACAGGGCCCGGACUCCUACGGAGGCGGCAGUGGGGAAAUUUGCACAAUGGGCGCAAGCCGGAUGCGGCCAUGCCGCGUGGAUGAAGAGGGCCCUAGGGUGGUAAAGUACUUUCAGUCGGGAGGCGUUACCGACAGAAGAAGCACCGGCUAACUCCGUGCCAGCAGCCGCGGUAAUAC
Molecule: ribosomal RNA, 403 nt
Filed under: uncultured bacterium
Lineage: Bacteria
Description: partial 16S ribosomal RNA
Rfam family: Bacterial small subunit ribosomal RNA
Source: RNAcentral